GACGAACGCUGGCGGCGUGCUUAACACAUGCAAGUCGAACGGAAAGGCCCUGCUUUUGUGGGGUGCUCGAGUGGCGAACGGGUGAGUAACACGUGAGUAACCUUCCCUUGACUUUGGGAUAACUUCAGGAAACUGGGGCUAAUACCGGAUAGGAGCUCCUGCUGCAUGGUGGGGGUUGGAAAGUUUCGGCGGUUGGGGAUGGACUCGCGGCUUAUCAGCUUGUUGGUGGGGUAGUGGCUUACCAAGGCUUUGACGGGUAGCCGGCCUGAGCGGGUGACCGGCCACAUUGGGACUGAGAUACGGCCCAGACUCCUACGGGAGGCAGCAGUGGGGAAUAUUGCACAAUGGGCGGAAGCCUGAUGCAGCAACGCCGCGUGCGGGAUGACGGCCUUCGGGUUGUAAACCGCUUUCGCCUGUGACGAAGCGUGAGUGACGGUAAUGGGUAAAGAAGCACCGGCUAACUACGUG
Molecule: ribosomal RNA, 468 nt
Filed under: uncultured bacterium
Lineage: Bacteria
Description: partial 16S ribosomal RNA
Rfam family: Bacterial small subunit ribosomal RNA
Source: RNAcentral